RNAcentral lists this ribosomal RNA (243 nucleotides) under uncultured bacterium. RNAcentral describes it as "partial 16S ribosomal RNA". It matches the Rfam family "Bacterial small subunit ribosomal RNA", at positions 524 to 765 of the family's 1533-position model. The record is from RNAcentral.
UACGUAGGGGGCAAGCGUUGUCCGGAUUUAUUGGGCGUAAAGAGCGUGUAGGCGGCUUUACAGGUCCGUUGUGAAAACUCGAGGCUCAACCUCGAGACGCCGGUGGAAACCGUAAAGCUAGAGUCCGGAAGAGGAGAGUGGAAUUCCGUGGUGUAGCGGUGAAAUGCGCAGAUAUCAGGAGGAACACCCGUGGCGAAAGCGGCUCUCGUGGGACGGUACUGACGCUGAGACGCGAAGCGUGGG